Mycena latifolia is the source of this 95-nucleotide non-coding RNA. Lineage: Eukaryota; Fungi; Basidiomycota; Agaricomycetes; Agaricales; Mycenaceae. The record is from the annotation of a GenBank genome assembly.
GGCUCGAUGGCGGAAGGUCCGCACCUGCAUUCUAUUAGAGCUGUUGUCCAAGAUCGUCCAUGCAGGUCCCGCCCGUUCGACUCGGGCUCGAGCCA